RNAcentral lists this non-coding RNA (24 nucleotides) under Arabidopsis thaliana (thale cress). The record is from RNAcentral. Lineage: Eukaryota; Viridiplantae; Streptophyta; Magnoliopsida; Brassicales; Brassicaceae.
UGAGUCAAUUGGUUUGAUGAGUAA